UUGUCUUCGGGGCGGGGCGAAAUUCCCCACCGGCGGUGAUAGUCCGCGAGCGAGCCUGACGGCGAGCAGGAACCGGCGCAAUUCCGGUACCGACAGUAUAGUCUGGAUGAGAGAAGGCG
Molecule: non-coding RNA, 119 nt
Filed under: human gut metagenome
Description: FMN riboswitch (RFN element)
Rfam family: FMN riboswitch aptamer (RFN element)
About the family: The RFN element is a highly conserved domain that is found frequently in the 5'-untranslated regions of prokaryotic mRNAs that encode for flavin mononucleotide (FMN) biosynthesis and transport proteins. This element is a metabolite-dependent riboswitch that directly binds FMN in the absence of proteins.
Source: RNAcentral